RNAcentral lists this ribosomal RNA (493 nucleotides) under Euryale sp. RMBR:OM1. Its description in RNAcentral is "partial 16S ribosomal RNA". It matches the Rfam family "Bacterial large subunit ribosomal RNA", at positions 1826 to 2597 of the family's 2925-position model. The record is from RNAcentral. Lineage: Eukaryota; Metazoa; Echinodermata; Ophiuroidea; Euryalida; Euryalidae.
CGCCUUUGGAAAAGAUCGAAGGUCCUGCCUGCCCGGUGAUUUAUUAUUAAACGGCUGCGGUACUCUGACCGUGCAAAGGUAGCAUAAUCAUUAGCCUGUUAAUUUUAGGCUGGAAUCAACGGCAAGACGAAGGAUAAGCUGUCUCUUUAUAUUAUAUCUUGAACUUUACGUUCUGGUAAAAAGGCCAGAAUUAUUUAGCGGGACGAGAAGACCCUAUUGAGUUUUAAUUAAGUUAUAGAGAUGUAAAUUUUAUUACUUAAUUUUGGUUGGGGCAACGAGUUUCUUAAUUAAACGAAACUAAAAAUAUGAAUUGAAUCAGGUUUGGACCCUAAUUUUAAGUUUAGGAAAAAAGAAAAAAUUACCAUAGGGAUAACAGCGUAAUUCUUUUUGAGAGUACUUAUUGACAAAAGAGUUUGCGACCUCGAUGUUGGAUCAGGAAAACCUGGGGAUGCAGCAGUUUCCAAGGGUUGGUUUGUUCAACCAUAAAAAUCUU